This 484-nucleotide ribosomal RNA is filed under the name uncultured bacterium. RNAcentral's name for it is "partial 16S ribosomal RNA". It matches the Rfam family "Bacterial small subunit ribosomal RNA", at positions 30 to 507 of the family's 1533-position model. The record is from RNAcentral.
AUUGAACGCUGGCGGCAGGCCUAACACAUGCAAGUCGAGCGGAUGAAGGGAGCUUGCUCCUGGAUUCAGCGGCGGACGGGUGAGUAAUGCCUAGGAAUCUGCCUGGUAGUGGGGGAUAACGUCCGGAAACGGGCGCUAAUACCGCAUCCGUCCUGAGGGAGAACGUGGGGGAUCUUCGGACCUCACGCUAUCAGAUAAGCCUAGGUCGGAUUAGCUAGUUGGUGGGGUAAAGGCCUACCAAGGCGACGAUCCGUAACUGGUCUGAGAGGAUGAUCAGUCACACUGGAACUGAGACACGGUCCAGACUCCUACGGGAGGCAGCAGUGGGGAAUAUUGGACAAUGGGCGAAAGCCUGAUCCAGCCAUGCCGCGUGUGUGAAGAAGGUCUUCGGAUUGUAAAGCACUUUAAGUUGGGAGGAAGGGCAGUAAGUUAAUACCUUGAUGUUUUGACGUUACCAACAGAAUAAGCACCGGCUAACUUCGUG